RNAcentral lists this small RNA (558 nucleotides) under Oryza sativa Japonica Group (Japanese rice). RNAcentral's name for it is "sRNA Os01g0687900". The record is from RNAcentral. Lineage: Eukaryota; Viridiplantae; Streptophyta; Magnoliopsida; Poales; Poaceae.
UAUUGAGAUCACAUGCAGUCACUACUAUGACUGCAAGUUAGUGACUGCAUGGUAUCUCAUCCAUCCAUUUUCCAAAUCAAGGGUACAUAUCAAAGUGCUACAACACCAUUGCUAUAGGUAUGUACAGUAUUAUUUUUUUCUGUGCGAACAGUGCUCCGAGAAUCUCAGCCAUUGGAUAUAACUUGGAUGGUCCUAAUGUGACUGCUUAAGUUGCAGUCACACUAGUAACUGCACCUGAACCAAAUCCCAUCUGUCCGCCACUCCCCUCGUAAACGUGCGAGUUACCUUUCUAGUUUUUCUACGCAUCUAGCCCUCUACAUGUGUUUAUAUAUUAAAUUAAAAUUGAUCGAAAUUGGGAACAAAUUAAGCCAGAUUGUCAAUGACAAUCCUUUCCAAGUACGUAAGGGCUGAGGCAUCAUUACUUGACACGCACAGCACUCCGCCCAUCCCCGCGGCUGGCCUCGUCCGUCGCCACCACAAAAGCAAGACUGCAAGAAUCGAUCGAGCAUAACCCCCCAUUGCUCCAGCAACACACCAAGGCUGGCACCCAAGCAAAGC